GGGGCAGUAGCAUAGUGGUAGAGCUCCCGCUUCAUACGCGGGAAGACCUGGGUUCGAUUCCUGCCUGCUUUC
Molecule: transfer RNA, 72 nt
Organism: Toxocara canis (dog roundworm)
Lineage: Eukaryota; Metazoa; Nematoda; Chromadorea; Rhabditida; Toxocaridae
Rfam family: tRNA
About the family: Transfer RNA (tRNA) molecules are approximately 80 nucleotides in length. Their secondary structure includes four short double-helical elements and three loops (D, anti-codon, and T loops).
Source: Rfam